AGUGAACGCUGGCGGUAGGCCUAACACAUGCAAGUCGAACGGCAGCACAGUAAGAGCUUGCUCUUACGGGUGGCGAGUGGCGGACGGGUGAGGAAUACAUCGGAAUCUACUUUUUCGUGGGGGAUAACGUAGGGAAACUUACGCUAAUACCGCAUACGACCUACGGGUGAAAGCAGGGGAUCUUCGGACCUUGCGCGAUUGAAUGAGCCGAUGUCGGAUUAGCUAGUUGGCGGGGUAAAGGCCCACCAAGGCGACGAUCCGUAGCUGGUCUGAGAGGAUGAUCAGCCAAACUGGAACUGAGACACGGUCCAGACUCCUACGGGAGGCAGCAGUGGGAAAUAUUGGACAAUGGGCGCAAGCCUGAUCCAGCCAUACCGCGUGGGUGAAGAAGGCCUUCGGGUUGUAAAGCCCUUUUGUUGGGAAAGAAAAGCAGCAGGUUAAUACCCCGCUGUUCUGACGGGACCCAAAGAAUAAGCACCGGCUAACUUCGU
This 491-nucleotide ribosomal RNA is filed under the name uncultured bacterium. RNAcentral's name for it is "partial 16S ribosomal RNA". It matches the Rfam family "Bacterial small subunit ribosomal RNA", at positions 29 to 506 of the family's 1533-position model. The record is from RNAcentral.